CCUACGGUGGCUGCAGUGGGGAAUAUUGGACAAUGGGCGAAAGCCUGAUCCAGCCAUGCCGCGUGUGUGAAGAAGGCCUUCGGGUUGUAAAGCACUUUCAGUGGGGAAGAAAGCCUUGGGGCUAAUACCCUCGAGGAAGGACAUCACCCACAGAAGAAGCACCGGCUAACUCCGUGCCAGCAGCCGCGGUAAUACGGAGGGUGCGAGCGUUAAUCGGAAUUACUGGGCGUAAAGCGCGCGUAGGCGGUCUGAUAAGCCGGUUGUGAAAGCCCCGGGCUCAACCUGGGAACGGCAUCCGGAACUGUCAGGCUAGAGUGCAGGAGAGGAAGGUAGAAUUCCCGGUGUAGCGGUGAAAUGCGUAGAGAUCGGGAGGAAUACCAGUGGCGAAGGCGGCCUUCUGGACUGACACUGACGCUGAGGUGCGAAAGCGUGGGUAGCAAACAGGAUUAGAUUACCCCAGUAGUC
This 465-nucleotide ribosomal RNA is filed under the name Vreelandella stevensii. RNAcentral's name for it is "partial 16S ribosomal RNA". It matches the Rfam family "Bacterial small subunit ribosomal RNA", at positions 338 to 795 of the family's 1533-position model. Lineage: Bacteria; Pseudomonadati; Pseudomonadota; Gammaproteobacteria; Oceanospirillales; Halomonadaceae. The record is from RNAcentral.